This 572-nucleotide ribosomal RNA is filed under the name Pseudomonas aeruginosa. Its description in RNAcentral is "bacterial SSU rRNA". It matches the Rfam family "Bacterial small subunit ribosomal RNA", at positions 104 to 672 of the family's 1533-position model. The record is from RNAcentral. Lineage: Bacteria; Pseudomonadati; Pseudomonadota; Gammaproteobacteria; Pseudomonadales; Pseudomonadaceae.
GGGUGAGUAAUGCCUAGGAAUCUGCCUGGUAGUGGGGGAUAACGUCCGGAAACGGGCGCUAAUACCGCAUACGUCCUGAGGGAGAAAGUGGGGGAUCUUCGGACCUCACGCUAUCAGAUGAGCCUAGGUCGGAUUAGCUAGUUGGUGGGGUAAAGGCCUACCAAGGCGACGAUCCGUAACUGGUCUGAGAGGAUGAUCAGUCACACUGGAACUGAGACACGGUCCAGACUCCUACGGGAGGCAGCAGUGGGGAAUAUUGGACAAUGGGCGAAAGCCUGAUCCAGCCAUGCCGCGUGUGUGAAGAAGGUCUUCGGAUUGUAAAGCACUUUAAGUUGGGAGGAAGGGCAGUAAGUUAAUACCUUGCUGUUUUGACGUUACCAACAGAAUAAGCACCGGCUAACUUCGUGCCAGCAGCCGCGGUAAUACGAAGGGUGCAAGCGUUAAUCGGAAUUACUGGGCGUAAAGCGCGCGUAGGUGGUUCAGCAAGUUGGAUGUGAAAUCCCCGGGCUCAACCUGGGAACUGCAUCCAAAACUACUGAGCUAGAGUACGGUAGAGGGUGGUGGAAUUUCCU